GACGAACGCUGGCGGCGUGCCUAAUACAUGCAAGUCGAACGCUUCUUUCCUCCCGAGUGCUUGCACUCAAUUGGAAAGAGGAGUGGCGGACGGGUGAGUAACACGUGGGUAACCUACCCAUCAGAGGGGGAUAACACUUGGAAACAGGUGCUAAUACCGCAUAACAGUUUAUGCCGCAUGGCAUAAGAGUGAAAGGUGCUUUCGGGUGUCGCUGAUGGAUGGACCCGCGGUGCAUUAGCUAGUUGGUGAGGUAACGGCUCACCAAGGCCACGAUGCAUAGCCGACCUGAGAGGGUGAUCGGCCACACUGGGACUGAGACACGGCCCAGACUCCUACGGGAGGCAGCAGUAGGGAAUCUUCGGCAAUGGACGAAAGUCUGACCGAGCAACGCCGCGUGAGUGAAGAAGGUUUUCGGAUCGUAAAACUCUGUUGUUAGAGAAGAACAAGGACGUUAGUAACUGAACGUCCCCUGACGGUAUCUAACCAGAAAGCCACGGCUAACUACGUGCCAGCAGCCGCGGUAAUACGUAGGUGGCAAGCGUUGUCCGGAUUUAUUGGGCGUAAAGCGAGCGCAGGCGGUUUCUUAAGUCUGAUGUGAAAGCCCCCGGCUCAACCGGGGAGGGUCAUUGGAAACUGGGAGACUUGAGUGCAGAAGAGGAGAGUGGAAUUCCAUGUGUAGCGGUGAAAUGCGUAGAUAUAUGGAGGAACACCAGUGGCGAAGGCGGCUCUCUGGUCUGUAACUGACGCUGAGGCUCGAAAGCGUGGGGAGCAAACAGG
This 777-nucleotide ribosomal RNA is filed under the name uncultured Bacilli bacterium. RNAcentral describes it as "bacterial SSU rRNA". It matches the Rfam family "Bacterial small subunit ribosomal RNA", at positions 28 to 776 of the family's 1533-position model. The record is from RNAcentral. Lineage: Bacteria; Bacillati; Bacillota; Bacilli.